UAAGUCGUAUGAAAAAUGUCUCAUUUCUCCUUUGUGUUAGCAUAAAAACAUUGAGCGUGGAAAAAGUUAAACCCCAUGAAUUAAUCUAGCAACUGAUGCCUACAAAGACAAGAAAAUAGCAAAGUCCAUCCACAUUUUAGACAUUAAUUAGUCGAAUUAUUUAGUUAACUUUAGUCCUUUUAAUUUGAUAUGUAAUAACGGACUCAAAAAAUUAUACAUUAGUUCAAAAGUAAGUUACAUCUAUAUAAACUACAUACACUAAUAUUGUUCUUGUUCCUAUAUAAGUAUUGAAUUAAAACAUCUUAUUGCAUUACAUAUAUAAGUAAUUAGGCUUGAUCAAGACUUUGAGUUAAAGAGGGAACUUAGGCCAAAGAAAAGCACCCAUAGCAAAGUUUCUUUUGUAAGCCAAAUCACCAUUUGUAGGCAAACCAUAUUCCUUAAGGAGACUAUCAAGCUUCCAUUCAGGCAUGUCUUGGUAGUCUUUUUCUGUGUAUCUUGGAUAGUGAAGAGGCAUCUGAAAAAAGCUAACAUUAUUCUGUUUUGGACUCUCCAUUGUCUAAUGAUAUUUUCUUAAUAUAUGUUGUUACUAGGGAAAUAAUAUUGUAUUUAAUAGUUGAAGAAGAGAUAGUUAAUAUAUAUUUGGAGUGUUAAUGUUAGGUUGAUGCAAGGCUCUGUUGGCAUGAUAGGUAUCACAUGAAUGAGUUGGUUUACCUUCUCUCAUGCAUUUUGUAACUAAAGUG
Molecule: long non-coding RNA, 740 nt
Filed under: Lathyrus oleraceus (garden pea)
Lineage: Eukaryota; Viridiplantae; Streptophyta; Magnoliopsida; Fabales; Fabaceae
Description: Pisum sativum (pea) long non-coding RNA (PSAT_LNC037756)
Source: RNAcentral